AAAAAGUGGAGUCCAGAAAUCACUUAAAAAAACGGGGCGCAACCGAAAAGCCUUACGAGUAGGGAAACUA
Bacteroidetes bacterium GWE2_29_8 is the source of this 70-nucleotide non-coding RNA. Lineage: Bacteria; Pseudomonadati; Bacteroidota. The record is from Rfam.